Spea bombifrons (plains spadefoot toad) is the source of this 3075-nucleotide long non-coding RNA. RefSeq lists it as uncharacterized. NCBI's taxonomy places the organism in Eukaryota, Metazoa, Chordata, Amphibia, Anura, Pelobatidae. The transcript has 2 exons. The record is from RefSeq and is a predicted model, not a curated record.
AUUCACAGGUGGCAGACCAUUAUGACCCAUGUCAGUCUUUGAGAGGUGUGUUUUUUCUUAUUCCUUUCUUCCAUUUCAUGACUGUUGCAACAAUGUAUUUGGAUAUGGGGGUAUCUCUUGUGAACAUUUUAACCCAUCAGGUACAUAGAAGACGGCUUCAAGGCACAAAGCUUCUCAGUCGUAAGACAUUUUGAUUAUGUAUGUUCCACAAUAAAGCCCAUGUGAUUUAGGAUUAACGUAGGAAGACAUUUAGAAGUUGUGUAUGUGGAAGGAAAGGCCUGUGUGUCUAUUGCUUUACUCGACAGAUGUCGCAGCCUUGUCUUGUGGAAAAGUGAAUCUUGGGCAACAGGGUUUUCAGCAGGUGUAAGGUAAGCAAAAUGAUCUUGCUUGAAUGGUUUCAGGAUCCACAAAGAUUGAGAGGAGCAGCAAAGAAAGUGAAGAAAAAAGUUUGUACCAUCUUAUGCCUUCUCUAUCAGAUCCCUUCAAGACACAAAAUAUCGGACCUUUGCUGCCUAGGAAGACCUUGAUUAUAGUUGUUACCUUUGAACCUUGAGACUCGUCAAUCAUUGAGACGCAAAGGGUUUGGACAGAAAACACUGCUAAUUUGAAAUGUAUAGGGUGAAGGGAAAGUUGUCUCUCUGCUUUGUGUUUCACAGGUGGCAGACCAUUAUGACCCGAGUCAGUCUUCGAGAGGUGUGUUUUUUUUCUUAUUGCUUUCAUUACUGUUGCAACAAUGUAUUUGGAUAUGGUGGUAUCUCUUGUGAACAUUUUAACCCAUCAGGUACAUAGAAGACGGCUUCAAGACACAAAGCUUCUCAGUCGUAAGACUUUUUGAUUAUGUAUGUUCUACAAUAAAGCCUGUGUGAUCUAGGAUUAACGUAGGAAGACGUUUAGAAGUUGUGUAUGUGGAAGGAAAGGCAUGCCUGUGUGUCUAUUGCUUUACUUGACAGAUGUCGCAGCCUUGUCUUGUGGAAAAGUGAAUCUUGGGCAACAGGGUUUUCAGCAGGUGUAAGGUAAGCAAAUGAUCUUGCUUGAAUAGUUUCAGGAUCCACACAGAUUGAGAGGAGCAGCAAAGAAAGUGAAGAAAAAAAUUUGUACCAUCUUAUGUCGGAAGACAUUUGGAAGUUGUGUUUGCGGAAGGAAAGGCCUGUGUGUCUAUUGCUUUACUCGACAGAUGUCGCAGCCUUGUCUUGUGGAAAAGUGAAUCUUGGGCAACAGGGUUUUCAGAAGGUGUAAGGUAAGCAAAAUGAUCUCGCUUGAAUGGUUUCAGGAUCCACAAAGAUUUAGAGGAGCAGCAAAGAAAGUGAAGAAGAAAGUGUGUACCAUCUUAUGUAGGAAGACAUUUGGAAGUUGUGUUUGCGGAAGGAAAGAAAGGCCUGUGUGUAUUGCUUUACUCGACAGAUGUCGCAGCCUUGUCUUGUGGAAAAGUGAAUCUUGGGCAACAGGGUUUUCAGCAGGUGUAAGGUAAGCAAAAUGAUCUCGCUGGAAUGGUUUCAGGAUCCACACAUAUUGAGAGGAGCAGCAAAGAAAGUGAAGAAAAGAGUUUGUACCAUCUUAUGUAGGAAGACAUUUGGAAGUUGUGUUUGCGGAAGGAAAGAAAGGCCUGUGUGUCUUUUGCUUUACUCGACAGAUGUCGCAGCCUUGUCUUGUGGAAAAGUGAAUCUUGGGCAACAGGGAUUUCAGCAGGUGUAAGGUAAGCAAAAUUAUCUUGCUUGAAUAGUUUCAGGAUCCACACAGAUUGAGAGGAGCAGCAAAGAAAGUGAAGAAAAAAGUUUGUACCAUCUUAUGUAGGAAGACAAUUGGAAGUUGUGUUUGCAGAAGGAAAGGCCUGUGUGUCUAUUGCUUUACUCGACAGAUGUCGCAGCCUUGUCUUGUGGAAAAGUGAAUCUUGGGCAACAGGGAUUUCAGCAGGUGUAAGGUAAGCAAAAUGAUCUUGCUUGAAUAGUUUCAGGAUCCACACAGAUUGAGAGGAGCAGCAAAGAAAGUGAAGAAAAAAGUUUGUACCAUCUUAUGUAGGAAGACAAUUGGAAGUUGUGUUUGCGGAAGAAAAGGCCUGUGUGUCUAUUGCUUUACUCGACAGGUGUCGCAGCCUUGUCUUGUUGAAAAAUGAAUCUUGGGCAACAGGGUUUUCAGAAGGUGUAAGGUAAGCAAAAUGAUCUUGCUUGAAUGGUUUCAGGAUCCACAAAGAUUGAGAGGAGCGGCAAAGAAAGUGCAGAAAAAAGUUUGUACCAUCUUAUGUAGGAAGACAUCUGGAAGUUGUGUAUGUGGAAGGAAAGGCCUGUGUGUCUAUUGCUUUACUCGACAGAUGUCGCAGCCUUGUCUUGUGGAAAAGUGAAUCUUGGGCAACAGGGUUUUCAGCAGGUGUAAGGUAAGCAAAAUGAUCUUGCUUGAAUGGUUUCAGGAUCCACAAAGAUUGAGAGGAGCAGCAAAGAAAGUGAAGAAAAAAGUUUGUACCAUCUUAUGCCUUCUCUAUCAGAUCCCUUCAAGACACAAAAUAUCGGACCUUUGCUGCCUAGGAAGACCUUGAUUAUAGUUGUUGCCUUUGAACCUUGAGACUCGUCAAUCAUUGAGACGCAAAGGGUUUGGACAGAAAACACUGUUAAUUUGAAAUGUAUAGGGUGAAGGGAAAGUUGUCUCUCUGCUUUGUGUUUCACAGGUGGCAGACCAUUAUGACCCGAGUCAGUCUUCGAGAGGUGUGUUUUUUUUCUUAUUGCUUUCAUGACUGUUGCAACAAUGUAUUUGGAUAUGGUGGUAUCUCUUGUGAACAUUUUAACCCAUCAGGUACAUAGAAGACGGCUUCAAGACACAAAGCUUAUCAGUCGUAAGACUUUUUGAUUAUGUAUGUUCUACAAUAAAGCCUGUGUGAUCUAGGAUUAACGUAGGAAGACGUUUAGAAGUUGUGUAUGUGGAAGAAAAGGCCUGUGUGUCUAUUGCUUUAGUCGACAGAUGCCGCAGCCUUGUCUUGUGGAAAAGUGAAUCUUGGGCAACAGGGAUUUCAGCAGGUGUAAGGUAAGCAAAAUGAUCUUGCUUGAAUAGUUUCAGGAUCCACAAAGAUCGAGAGGAGCAGCAAAGAAA